UUCGGACUGCAGGCUGCAACCCGCCUGCACGAAGCCGGAGUUGCUAGUAAUCGCGAAUCAGAAUGUCGCGGUGAAUGCGUUCCCGGGUCUUGUACACACCGCCCGUCACACCAUGGAAGUUGGGGGUGCCCAAAGCCGGCAAGCAAAUAUGCUGUCUAAGGCAAAACCAAUGACUGGGGUGAAGUCGUAACAAGGUACC
Molecule: ribosomal RNA, 199 nt
Filed under: uncultured bacterium
Lineage: Bacteria
Description: partial 16S ribosomal RNA
Rfam family: Bacterial small subunit ribosomal RNA
Source: RNAcentral